This 99-nucleotide small nucleolar RNA is filed under the name Homo sapiens (human). Its description in RNAcentral is "Small nucleolar RNA U13". It matches the Rfam family "Small nucleolar RNA U13". Lineage: Eukaryota; Metazoa; Chordata; Mammalia; Primates; Hominidae. The record is from Rfam by way of RNAcentral.
AGCCUCCCAAAGCACUGGGAGUGUGAUGACUAGGUUUUCACGUGUGAGAUAUGCCUCACUCACACCUUGUUACAACACUGGCACAUUGCCUGUCGGAUG